Molecule: ribosomal RNA, 1182 nt
Filed under: Escherichia coli
Lineage: Bacteria; Pseudomonadati; Pseudomonadota; Gammaproteobacteria; Enterobacterales; Enterobacteriaceae
Description: partial 23S ribosomal RNA
Rfam family: Bacterial large subunit ribosomal RNA
Source: RNAcentral
GUUAAGCGACUAAGCGUACACGGUGGAUGCCCUGGCAGUCAGAGGCGAUGAAGGACGUGCUAAUCUGCGAUAAGCGUCGGUGAGGUGAUAUGAACCGUUAUAACCGGCGAUUUCCGAAUGGGGAAACCCAGUGUGUUUCGACACACUAUCAUUAACUGAAUCCAUAGGUUAAUGAGGCGAACCGGGGGAACUGAAACAUCUAAGUACCCCGAGGAAAAGAAAUCAACCGAGAUUCCCCCAGUAGCGGCGAGCGAACGGGGAGGAGCCCAGAGCCUGAAUCAGUGUGUGUGUUAGUGGAAGCGUCUGGAAAGGCGCGCGAUACAGGGUGACAGCCCCGUACACAAAAAUGCACAUAUUGUGAGCUCGAUGAGUAGGGCGGGACACGUGGUAUCCUGUCUGAAUAUGGGGGGACCAUCCUCCAAGGCUAAAUACUCCUGACUGACCGAUAGUGAACCAGUACCGUGAGGGAAAGGCGAAAAGAACCCCGGCGAGGGGAGUGAAAAAGAACCUGAAACCGUGUACGUACAAGCAGUGGGAGCCUCUUUAUGGGGUGACUGCGUACCUUUUGUAUAAUGGGUCAGCGACUUAUAUUCUGUAGCAAGGUUAACCGAAUAGGGGAGCCGAAGGGAAACCGAGUCUUAACUGGGCGUUAAGUUGCAGGGUAUAGACCCGAAACCCGGUGAUCUAGCCAUGGGCAGGUUGAAGGUUGGGUAACACUAACUGGAGGACCGAACCGACUAAUGUUGAAAAAUUAGCGGAUGACUUGUGGCUGGGGGUGAAAGGCCAAUCAAACCGGGAGAUAGCUGGUUCUCCCCGAAAGCUAUUUAGGUAGCGCCUCGUGAAUUCAUCUCCGGGGGUAGAGCACUGUUUCGGCAAGGGGGUCAUCCCGACUUACCAACCCGAUGCAAACUGCGAAUACCGGAGAAUGUUAUCACGGGAGACACACGGCGGGUGCUAACGUCCGUCGUGAAGAGGGAAACAACCCAGACCGCCAGCUAAGGUCCCAAAGUCAUGGUUAAGUGGGAAACGAUGUGGGAAGGCCCAGACAGCCAGGAUGUUGGCUUAGAAGCAGCCAUCAUUUAAAGAAAGCGUAAUAGCUCACUGGUCGAGUCGGCCUGCGCGGAAGAUGUAACGGGGCUAAACCAUGCACCGAAGCUGCGGCAGCGACACUAUGUGUUGUUG